GACCUGAUUGCAUAAUGGUUAGUGUGUCUGCUUCAACUAGGCACACUUGGUAUUGGUUAGGCAGAAGGUCCCUUGUUUGAUUCGGGGUCAGGUCA
Molecule: non-coding RNA, 95 nt
Organism: Mycena latifolia
Lineage: Eukaryota; Fungi; Basidiomycota; Agaricomycetes; Agaricales; Mycenaceae
Source: the annotation of a GenBank genome assembly